GCAAACUUGGUCAUUUAGAGGAAGUAAAAGUCGUAACAAGGUUUCCGUAGGUGAACCUGCGGAAGGAUCAUUAACAAUUUUUUUAAAAAUCCAUACCCACCUUCGUGUGCAUCCACCGAAGCCAUGCCUUUGGGAGGGAAAGGGGAGGGUUGCCCAGGGGGUUUCCUUUAAAAAAACCCCUCCUCCUCCCUUCCUCCCGGAGGUUUCCUUCUAAAAACACGUUUUUUUUUUCUGUUUUUUAACAUACAAAUCAUAAUCAUCGUAACAACUUUCAACAACGGAUCUCUUGGCUCUCGCAUCGAUGAAGAACGCAGC
RNAcentral lists this unclassified non-coding RNA (315 nucleotides) under uncultured fungus. RNAcentral describes it as "partial contains small subunit ribosomal RNA, internal transcribed spacer 1, and 5.8S ribosomal RNA". The stretch from base 1 to 73 matches the Rfam family "Eukaryotic small subunit ribosomal RNA", at positions 1759 to 1831 of the family's 1831-position model. Lineage: Eukaryota; Fungi. The record is from RNAcentral.